CAGUAGCCACGGUAAUACGGAGGGUGCAAGCGUUAAUCGGAAUUACUGGGCGUAAAGCGCACGCAGGCGGUCUGUCAAGUCAGAUGUGAAAUCCCCGGGCUUAACCUGGGAACUGCAUUUGAAACUGGCAGGCUAGAGUCUUGUAGAGGGGGGUAGAAUUCCAGGUGUAGCGGUGAAAUGCGUAGAGAUCUGGAGGAAUACCGGUGGCGAAGGCGGCCCCCUGGACAAAGACUGACGCUCAGGUGCGAAAGCGUGGGGAGCAAACAGGAUUAGAGACCCCUGUAGUCCCUGUCUCUUAUAU
RNAcentral lists this ribosomal RNA (301 nucleotides) under uncultured bacterium. Its description in RNAcentral is "partial 16S ribosomal RNA". It matches the Rfam family "Bacterial small subunit ribosomal RNA", at positions 509 to 809 of the family's 1533-position model. The record is from RNAcentral.